UGAACGCUAGCUACAGGCUUAACACAUGCAAGUCGAGGGGCAGCAUUUUAGUUUGCUUGCAAACUGAAGAUGGCGACCGGCGCACGGGUGAGUAACACGUAUCCAACCUGCCGAUAACUCCGGAAUAGCCUUUCGAAAGAAAGAUUAAUACCGGAUAGCAUACGAAUAUCGCAUGAUAUUUUUAUUAAAGAAUUUCGGUUAUCGAUGGGGAUGCGUUCCAUUAGUUUGUUGGCGGGGUAACGGCCCACCAAGACUACGAUGGAUAGGGGUUCUGAGAGGAAGGUCCCCCACAUUGGAACUGAGACACGGUCCAAACUCCUACGGGAGGCAGCAGUGAGGAAUAUUGGUCAAUGGGCGAGAGCCUGAACCAGCCAAGUAGCGUGAAGGAUGAAGGCUCUAUGGGUCGUAAACUUCUUUUAUAUGGGAAUAAAGUUUUCCACGUGUGGAAUUUUGUAUGUACCAUAUGAAUAAGGAUCGGCUAACUCCGUGCCAGCAGCCGCGGUAAUACGGAGAAUCCGAGCGUUAUCCGGAUUUAUUGGGUUUAAAGGGAGCGUAGGUGGAUUGUUAAGUCAGUUGUGAAAGUUUGCGGCUCAACCGUAAAAUUGCAGUUGAAACUGGCAGUCUUGAGUACAGUAGAGGUGGGCGGAAUUCGUGGUGUAGCGGUGAAAUGCUUAGAUAUCACGAAGAACUCCGAUUGCGAAGGCAGCUCACUAGACUGUCACUGACACUGAUGCUCGAAAGUGUGGGUAUCAAACAGGAUUAGAUACCCUGGUAGUCCACACAGUAAACGAUGAAUACUCGCUGUUUGCGAUAUACAGUAAGCGGCCAAGCGAAAGCAUUAAGUAUUCCACCUGGGGAGUACGCCGGCAACGGUGAAACUCAAAGGAAUUGACGGGGGCCCGCACAAGCGGAGGAACAUGUGGUUUAAUUCGAUGAUACGCGAGGAACCUUACCCGGGCUUAAAUUGCAACAGAAUAUAUUGGAAACAGUAUAGCCGUAAGGCUGUUGUGAAGGUGCUGCAUGGUUGUCGUCAGCUCGUGCCGUGAGGUGUCGGCUUAAGUGCCAUAACGAGCGCAACCCUUAUCUUUAGUUACUAACAGGUUAUGCUGAGGACUCUAGAGAGACUGCCGUCGUAAGAUGUGAGGAAGGUGGGGAUGACGUCAAAUCAGCACGGCCCUUACGUCCGGGGCUACACACGUGUUACAAUGGGGGGUACAGAAGGCGGCUACCUGGUGACAGGAUGCUAAUCCCAAAAACCUCUCUCAGUUCGGAUCGAAGUCUGCAACCCGACUUCGUGAAGCUGGAUUCGCUAGUAAUUGCGCAUCAGCCAUGGCGCGGUGAAUACGUUCCCGGGCCUUGUACACACCGCCCGUCAAGCCAUGAAAGCCGGGGGUACCUGAAGUACGUAACCGCAAGGAGCGUCCUAGGGUAAAACUGGUAAUUGGGGC
RNAcentral lists this ribosomal RNA (1448 nucleotides) under uncultured organism. Its description in RNAcentral is "SSU rRNA". It matches the Rfam family "Bacterial small subunit ribosomal RNA". The record is from RNAcentral.